UGAGUAAUAUAUCGGAACGUACCCAGUAGUGGGGGAUAACUAUCCGAAAGGAUAGCUAAUACCGCAUACGAUCUAGGGAUGAAAGCAGGGGAUCUUCGGACCUUGUGCUAUUGGAGCGGCCGAUAUCUGAUUAGCUAGUUGGUGAGGUAAAAGCUCACCAAGGCGACGAUCAGUAGCUGGUCUGAGAGGACGACCAGCCACACUGGAACUGAGACACGGUCCAGACUCCUACGGGAGGCAGCAGUGGGGAAUUUUGGACAAUGGGCGCAAGCCUGAUCCAGCAAUGCCGCGUGAGUGAAGAAGGCCUUCGGGUUGUAAAGCUCUUUUGUCAGGGAAGAAAAGGUGCGCUCUAACAUAGCGUACUGAUGACGGUACCUGAAGAAUAAGCACCGGCUAACUACGUGCCAGCAGCCGCGGUAAUACGUAGGGUGCAAGCGUUAAUCGGAAUUACUGGGCGUAAAGCGUGCGCAGGCGGUUUUAUAAGUCUGAUGUGAAAUCCCCGGGCUCAACCUGGGAACUGCAUUGGAGACUGUAAGGCUAGAGUGUGUCAGAGGGGGGUAGAAUUCCACGUGUAGCAGUGAAAUGCGUAGAUAUGUGGAGGAAUACCGAUGGCGAAGGCAGCCCCCUGGGAUAACACUGACGCUCAUGCACGAAAGCGUGGGGAGCAAACAGGAUUAGAUACCCUGGUAGUCCACGCCCUAAACGAUGUCCACUAGUUGUCGGGACUUAAUUGUCUUGGUAACGCAGCUAACGCGUGAAGUAGACCGCCUGGGGAGUACGGUCGCAAGAUUAAAACUCAAGGAAUUGACGGGGACCCGCACAGCGGUGGA
RNAcentral lists this ribosomal RNA (830 nucleotides) under uncultured bacterium. Its description in RNAcentral is "bacterial SSU rRNA". It matches the Rfam family "Bacterial small subunit ribosomal RNA", at positions 107 to 936 of the family's 1533-position model. The record is from RNAcentral.